CCUACGGGAGGCAGCAGUAAGGAAUAUUGGUCAAUGGACGGAAGUCUGAACCAGCCAUGCCGCGUGCAGGAAGACGGCCCUAUGGGUUGUAAACUGCUUUUGCAGGGGAAUAAACCUUCUUACGUGUAAGAAGUUGAAUGUACCUUGAGAAUAAGGAUCGGCUAACUCCGUGCCAGCAGCCGCGGUAAUA
Molecule: ribosomal RNA, 190 nt
Filed under: uncultured bacterium
Lineage: Bacteria
Description: partial 16S ribosomal RNA
Rfam family: Bacterial small subunit ribosomal RNA
Source: RNAcentral